This 26-nucleotide unclassified non-coding RNA is filed under the name Mus musculus (house mouse). RNAcentral describes it as "oocyte_clustered_small_RNA675". The record is from RNAcentral. Lineage: Eukaryota; Metazoa; Chordata; Mammalia; Rodentia; Muridae.
CCUGGCUAUCUCUGACUGGAAUCAGC